GACGAACGCUGGCGGCGCGCUUAACACAUGCAAGUCGAGCGAUGAAAUUUCGACAGAUCCCUUCGGGGUGAAGAUGAAAGGGAUUAGCGGCGGACGGGUGAGUAACACGUGAGUAACCUGCCUUUGACAUUGGGAUAGCCUCGGGAAACUGGGAUUAAUACCAAAUGACACUAACUGAUCACAUGAUCAAUUAGUCAAAGAAAUUCGGUCAAAGAUGGACUCGCGGCUGAUUAGCUAGUUGGUGAGGUAACGGGCCCCCCAGGCGACGAUCAGUAGCCGGGCAGAGAGGGUGGUCGGAGACAUUGGAGCUAGGACGCGGUGCAGACUCCUGCGGGAGGCAGCAGUGGGGAAUAUUGCACAAUGGGGGGAACGCUGAUGGAGCGACGCCGCGUGAGCGAAGAAGGCCUGCGGGUCGUAAAGCUCUUUUAUAAGGGAAGGUAAUGACGGUACCUAAAGAAAAAGCCCCGGCUAACUACGUG
RNAcentral lists this ribosomal RNA (479 nucleotides) under uncultured bacterium. RNAcentral describes it as "partial 16S ribosomal RNA". It matches the Rfam family "Bacterial small subunit ribosomal RNA", at positions 28 to 507 of the family's 1533-position model. The record is from RNAcentral.